AAAAUCUGGAUUAUUAAUAUAGAAGUUUAAUUUUAAUAAUAAAAAAAAUAGUUUUUAUUUAAUUAUCUUAUGAGAAUAAAUUUAUAUAUAUAUAUAUAUAUAUAUAAUAAUAGUAAAUUAGUAUUGUGAAAGAAUUCAUUAAAUUAUUUAAAAGAAGAGAUUAUAUUUCGUACCUUGUGUGUCAGGGUUUAUUAAUUAAAAAUUUAUUAUUAGAAUAUUCUCGAAUUUAAAAGAGCUAUAAUAUAAGUAUAAUUUUUACUGUAGAAAAAGUAUUAAAAAUAUUAUUAUAGAAGUGAAAUGCUAUUCGAUUUUAAAUAUAUCUAGUUUUUUAAGAAAAAAUUUUAAUUUUGUUUUUAUAUUAUUAUAAUACUGUAAUUUUUUACAGAUAUAAUAGUAAAAUUUUAUAUAUUAAGGGAUAAGCUUUAAUUUAAAGUAAUAUAAUUUUUAAAAAUUAAAGGAUUUUUAGUAGGAUUUUAAGUUUCUUUCUAUAAAAGUGUGUUUUUACAUUUUAUCAGAGUUGAAAAAAUUUUUAUUUAAUUUAUAUAUUUUAUUAAAAUAAGAAUUUUAAUUUAAAAAAUUUAGAAAAAAUGAUAAAAUUAGUAUAAAUUAAAGUAUAGUUAUUAUAGUGUUAAAGGUUUUAUAAAGGAACUCGGCAAAUAUACUUUUCACCUGUUUAAUAAAAACAUGGCCUAUUGAUUAUAAUUUUAGGUCUGACCUGCCCAAUGAGAAGUUUAAUGGCCGCGGUAUAUUAACCGUGCAAAGGUAGCAUAAUCAUUAGUUUUUUAAUUGAAAGCUGGAAUGAAAGGUUUGAUGAAAAAGUUUCUGUCUCUAUAAAAAUUUAUUAGAAUUUUAUUUUUAAGUUAAAAAGCUUAAAUGUUUAUAGAAGACGAGAAGACCCUAUAGAGUUUUAUAUUUUAAAGUUAAUUGAAAUUAUAGGUGAAAUUAUUAAAUUAGCUAAAAAAAUAUUUUGUUGGGGUGAUAGAAAAAUUUAAUUAACUUUUUUUUUAUAGAAUCAUUAAUUUAUGAGUUUAUGAUCCUAGUGUAUAGAUUAUAAGAUUAAAUUACCUUAGGGAUAACAGCGUAAUUUUUUUUAGAGUUCUAAUCGAAAUAAAAGAUUGCGACCUCGAUGUUGGAUUAAAAUUAAUUGUUGGUGGAGAAGCUAAUAAAUUAGGUCUGUUCGACCUUUAAAAUUUUACAUGAUCUGAGUUUAAACCGGUGUGAGCCAGGUUGGUUUCUAUCUCUAUAAAUUUAAAGUUUUUUAGUACGAAAGGACCAAAAAUUUAAUUUAAAAUUUGAAAAAAGAAGAUUAUUAAUAUUUU
Molecule: ribosomal RNA, 1319 nt
Filed under: Curculionidae sp. 3 AH-2016
Lineage: Eukaryota; Metazoa; Arthropoda; Insecta; Coleoptera; Curculionidae
Description: 16S ribosomal RNA
Rfam family: Archaeal large subunit ribosomal RNA (bases 623-1319)
Source: RNAcentral